Molecule: ribosomal RNA, 250 nt
Filed under: uncultured bacterium
Lineage: Bacteria
Description: partial 16S ribosomal RNA
Rfam family: Bacterial small subunit ribosomal RNA
Source: RNAcentral
UACGGAGGGUGCAAGCGUUGUUCGGAAUUAUUGGGCGUAAAGGGCGCGUAGGCGGUAAUGCAAGUCAGAUGUGAAAUACUCCGGCUCAACUGGGGAACUGCAUCUGAAACUGCAUAACUAGAGUACAGAAGAGGGAAACGGAAUUCCCGGUGUAGAGGUGAAAUUCGUAGAUAUCGGGAGGAACACCAGUGGCGAAGGCGGUUUCCUGGUCUGAUACUGACGCUGAGGCGCGAAAGUGUGGGGAGCAAAC